UACAGAGGUCUCAAGCGUUGUUCGGAUUCAUUGGGCGUAAAGGGUGCGUAGGCGGCGGGGUAAGUCUGAUGUGAAAUCCCGGGGCUCAACCCUGGAACUGCAUUGGAUACUGCCUUGCUAGAGAACUGGAGAGGAGACUGGAAUUUACGGUGUAGCAGUGAAAUGCGUAGAGAUCGUAAGGAAGACCAGUGGCGAAGGCGAGUCUCUGGACAGUUCCUGACGCUGAGGCACGAAGGCCAGGGGAGCAAACGGG
This 253-nucleotide ribosomal RNA is filed under the name uncultured bacterium. RNAcentral describes it as "partial 16S ribosomal RNA". It matches the Rfam family "Bacterial small subunit ribosomal RNA", at positions 524 to 776 of the family's 1533-position model. The record is from RNAcentral.